GUCUAUGGCCAUGCUACCCUGAACAAGCCCAAUCUCGUGUGAUCUUGGAAGCUAAGCAGAGUUGGGCCUGGUUAGUACUUUGAUGGGAGACCACCUAGGAAGACCAGGUGCUGUAGAUG
Molecule: ribosomal RNA, 119 nt
Filed under: Pteropus alecto (black flying fox)
Lineage: Eukaryota; Metazoa; Chordata; Mammalia; Chiroptera; Pteropodidae
Source: RNAcentral